UCUUCUACUUUUCUAUGAUAUGUGGUGAAUUUGCACAAGCAUUUCAUCACAGAAAGAGAUUAAUAAUUUGAUUGCCACGAGGGAGACAAUGCCUAGAAAACCGCAAGACACUUGAAAGCCCUGUUAUGAAAACUGACUCAACAUGCACCAAAUGGACCACACACCAUGAGCUAUAGGCCAUACUUCCGGUUAACACGCUGCCAAAUCUAGCCACACUCCACCUCUCAUCUUUAAAAAGCUUCACCAUUUAAGACAUUCACUUCACUCACAAACAUUUUGUACCACCAAGCUUUCUUUGUAUAACAAGUACGUAGUAAUUGAUGUCUUGCAUGUAUUUAUGGACAUGUCUGUUUACUAUUGUUUGCAUGGUAUUUUGCUACUAAGCUUUGUACUAUGUACUUAUAUUUAUGGACAUGUCUAUCACUUAUUUAUCUUGAAUAUCAUUUUUUUCACGUUGCAGACAGGUUCACACUUCACAACAAAUAAAUAUACGACAACAAUUAAUAAAAACUAUACAAUCUGAAAUAACUUAUAAUAAACGACAACAAUAAUCAAUCUUUAUCUUAUUAGGUGAGGAUGCUACAUGAAUCAAAUUACGUUAUAGUGUUUUAUAAAAAAUCGUAUUGAUAUUGUUUGUUGCACGCAGUUCGAGUUGAACCUAAUCAUGCACAGACAAAGCAAUCUAUGUGAAGUUCUCAAUGAUUUUGUACAUGCAACUAUUCAAGUUUUGUUUAAGUGGAUAGAUAUCACACAGUGUAAGAAUUUACUUACUACUAUGCAUUCACUAAGUGAUGUGCGACAAGCCACGUUUCAAGCUCUUUGCAACUCAAGUUUACCCAAGUUAAGUUGCUGUGCAAUGUGCAUUUAUUCAAGCCCACGAGCAAAUAUGACAGUGUACUACAACGUAGCUAUAGCUAGCAUGAUCUCUAGCUAGCUAGUAGGAGCAAAGACCUCCAUGUUUCUUUGAUUCAAAGAAUGAUUAUUUGCUCAAUCUAUAUCUAUCUAUAUGCAAUGGAU
This 1017-nucleotide long non-coding RNA is filed under the name Medicago truncatula (barrel medic). RNAcentral's name for it is "long non-coding RNA (MTRU_LNC006329)". The record is from RNAcentral. Lineage: Eukaryota; Viridiplantae; Streptophyta; Magnoliopsida; Fabales; Fabaceae.